This 726-nucleotide ribosomal RNA is filed under the name Salmonella enterica. RNAcentral's name for it is "partial 23S ribosomal RNA". It matches the Rfam family "Bacterial large subunit ribosomal RNA", at positions 711 to 1352 of the family's 2925-position model. RNAcentral also lists the same sequence under 3 other names. The record is from RNAcentral. Lineage: Bacteria; Pseudomonadati; Pseudomonadota; Gammaproteobacteria; Enterobacterales; Enterobacteriaceae.
AGACCCGAAACCCGGUGAUCUAGCCAUGGGCAGGUUGAAGGUUGGGUAACACUAACUGGAGGACCGAACCGACUAAUGUUGAAAAAUUAGCGGAUGACCUGUGGCUGGGGGUGAAAGGCCAAUCAAACCGGGAGAUAGCUGGUUCUCCCCGAAAGCUAUUUAGGUAGCGCCUCGUGAAUUCAUCUCCGGGGGUAGAGCACUGUUUCGGCUAGGGGGCCAUCCCGGCUUACCAACCCGAUGCAAACUGCGAAUACCGGAGAAUGUUAUCACGGGAGACACACGGCGGGUGCUAACGUCCGUCGUGAAGAGGGAAACAACCCAGACCGCCAGCUAAGGUCCCAAAGUCAUGGUUAAGUGGGAAACGAUGUGGGAAGGCCCAGACAGCCAGGAUGUUGGCUUAGAAGCAGCCAUCAUUUAAAGAAAGCGUAAUAGCUCACUGGUCGAGUCGGCCUGCGCGGAAGAUGUAACGGGGCUAAACCAUGCACCGAAGCUGCGGCAGCGAACGUAUCACUUAAAGCGAUUCAGCGGGUUACGAUUGACGGAGCGAAGCGACGUCAAAGCGUAUACAAAGUCGAGUCGGUUUAAGGAUACGUUCGUUGGGUAGGGGAGCGUUCUGUAAGCCUGUGAAGGUGGCCUGUGAGGGUUGCUGGAGGUAUCAGAAGUGCGAAUGCUGACAUAAGUAACGAUAAAGCGGGUGAAAAGCCCGCUCGCCGGAAGACCAAGGGU